AGCUCAGCAACUCCUAUCCCUACCUCCUCGCGGUACUGACCACGGUACGAGUAACCUUAGGGAAGAUCGGGUAACCAACCCCAGUGGAAACUCUGAUCGUAUGCUGACAGGGAAGG
This is a non-coding RNA of Aedes aegypti (yellow fever mosquito), 116 nucleotides long. Lineage: Eukaryota; Metazoa; Arthropoda; Insecta; Diptera; Culicidae. The record is from Rfam.